CUCUCAGAAGCUUGCUGCCAUGUUAUAAAGAAGCUCAGAUGGAUCACUGGAUGAUGAGAAGCCUCAAGGAGAGAUGCCCUAAAGGAUGAGAGGCCAUCUUGAAAGUUCCAGCCCCUGCAGAGCUCCUACCUUAAUGCAGCCACACAAGUGACCACAGCUAUUCCACAAGGAGCAGAACCCAACCAACCCACAAAACUGAGAAAAAUAAUACCUUGUUGUGUUAAGUCACUAAGUUUGAGUGGCUUGUGAUACUGCAAGAGAACUGAAGCAGACCUCUUCAGACAGAUUAAAAUGGGGGACCCUGGCUAUUGCUGGGCUCCUCUGGGAAGAGUCUCCUAAAGAGAUGUCUUAGGCCCCUUUGCCCAAAUGGCUGCAGAGGGUGAGUACUGAUGGCUCUCCCACUCCCCACCUCCCUUCUUUCUAAUUUUUUCCUUCACCAUCCCUUCCAUGGCCUGUAUCUGUGCCUGGUUUUCCUCACCUCUUUCCUGCUCUUUCACUUCGAUAGCUGUGGGGAGCCCUCAAGGCUACAGAAACUUCAGAAACCUGGUUCAGGAUAUGCAUCAUUGCCUACUCCCCCCAUUUCUUUUGUCCCCUGUCCUAGCACUGGAGCAAAAUUAGGUCUCCUUUGUAUUUUUUUAAUGAACAGGUUUAGCCACUGUUAGCUGGCUAUUACAUUGGACUGAAAAUGCUGUUUGUGAGCCAUUGUCAACAGAGACUGGGACCAACACUGACACCUCCUUAAUUAUGUGCCAUUAAUGAUAUACACACUGCAGUUAAGGGAACAUUGCAGAUCCAUUUUCUUGCUUUAAUUCAGUGCUGUGUUGUAUGAAAUGCUAAUGAGUCCAGAAUUCUCAAAGGUCAUAAUCUGAAUACAUUUUCUUUUCUUCUUUUUAGGGCAAUAGGGAUAGAAUUCAAAACAAUUAAAAUGAAAUUUACUUCAUCAUUUGGCUAACAACAUCCUUGACUGUACUAAUUACACUGAGGGAUGUAUUCAUUCACUGGUCAUUUGGGCAGAUCUGAGUGUGCUUGAUUUCUUUUAAGGUCUGCAGCUCUGAAUUCUACACAGGAUUUUCUUUUUUAGCUGCUCACCCCAUUGGUUAUGAGACAUAACUGGGGAAAAAAAGUCCAUCUAAACCCUUAGAAUAUGGAAAGUGCAAAUUUAGCAGAACCAGCAUAGAAUUUUCCAGGGAGUCAUUUAUCAUCCUUAGAAAGUUUUGGUUCUUUGCAAAUAAAAAAAGAGAAAAGAAAGGUAAUUGCCAUGCUCAGCUAAUUGACAGAAUUGUGUCAGAAAAAGGAGGCAUUUCAACACUGCCUCCGAUGAUGACAUUUGAAGGUUGUUCCCAUUCUCUCUUCACUGCUAAAUUAGGUAAUCAUUAUUUCCCUGUGAAUCUUAUUAAUCUAAUGGUUGCUUCUCUCCCCUAGCCCCCCUCAGUUGGUUUUGAGACUCAGACAGAAAUGUGAAAAUGAAAUGCUGAAGGUCAGAAAAUAGUUUGGUCAGUUGAAUUUGUAUUCUCCAGUUUUGUGGUUCAGAUCUGAAGUAGGAGAGGACAAGAGGGAAUAAGUUUAAAUUGCAGUCAGGGGAAUUCAAGUCAUCUGUUAAAAAGGACCAUCUCAUUAUAUGAAUGAAACCCAGAAGGUUUGAAAUCUCUGCUGGUGGAUUUUAAGAACAGGUUAUUCCACUGACGUGCUGGGAUAGUGGAAACCAAGAAGCUAGAAAAAAGCCCAGAACAGUGAUUCUCAGGCUUUUCUCUUUUUGGAUGGCUUUAGUGGGCACAAGAACUGCACUGGGUACUCAGGGGUAAUGGCAAUCUCUGAGUUUUCCCUGUAAAAAAUAGUGCUCAUCAGAUGUAGGGCUUCUAAUAUGGUUUCUGAUGAGACAUUAAUGAGAUAAUGACUGGUUUAAGAAAACUGAUGCUUGGUUUUCAUUAGACAUUAUAACCAAAAUACCAAUUUGUGUUUGAAACAGAUAGUGUAGGCAGUCUGUUGGCAAAACCAGCGCUUCCUCGGUAGGACAGAUUGACAGCAGCCCUUAAUGACACUUGGAAAAUAGCUGAAUGUCCUGUGUUGGUAAAGGCAAAAUGUGAAGGAUCUGCACACUAAUGGUGGCUGUCUUGGUCUGUUUUGUGCUUUUAUAACAGAAUGCCACAGACUGGAUAAUUUAUAAUGAAAGAAAUUUAUUGGCUCAACAUUCUAGAGGCUGGGAAGUUCAAGGUUGAGUUUCCAGCAUCUAGCAAGGGUCUGCUUGUUGUGUCAUAAUGUGGUAGAAGGCAUCUCAUGGCAGAAGAGCAAAGAAAGAGAGAGGAAGAGAGAGAGCAGGAGAUGGAGAGGAAGGGUGGGAGAAAGAAAGAGAUAAAGGGGGCUGAGCUUGUCCUUUUAUAAGGCAUGCACUCCAACAAUAAUGAAUCCACUCCUAUGAUAAUGGCAUUAACCCAUUCAUAAGGGUAGAACCCUCCUGGCCUAAUCAGCUCUUAAAGGCCUCACCUCUGAAUACUGUUAUAAUGGCAAUUAAAUUUCAACAUGAGUUUGGGAGGGGACACACAUUCAAAUCAUAGUGGUGGCAUAUUGGUGACAAAUUCUAUCCCCCUGUUAUUGCUGAGCAGGCUUAGGCAAGACCGCCUCAGUCUGCCUUGAUGAUCUUUCUGCCCCUCGGAAUGUUCUUACCCAUCCCAUCCCCAUGUCCUCUCUCCUCCCUACCUUGUCAGUCAGUGCUCCUCAGGGCAGCCAGUAGGGACAGUAGCUGCCCGACCUGAGGUGGAGAGGCUGAAUGUAUGGGACAAAUGCAUUCUGGGACAUUUCCUGCCUCCUCUUCCUUCUAGGUCUCCAAAUUCCCCAUAACAAACAGGAAUUGAGUAGAUUGAGAGUGAAUCUCUGUGGCAUCACGACAAAUCUGGAAAAUACUGUUUAAAAAAUAUAUUACCUGGAUUGACCUCUUAGAUGUUCUUAAUAUUUUGGGCCAGUGGUUCUGGAAACUCUUAAUUAUUUCAUUUAAUCAUCUUAAUUUAGUUAACAGUAUUUACUAUUUUAAACAAAAGCCUUUAUGAAAGAGAGUCUAGCCUUUUCCCCUGGACCCAGAGAGACAAAAAUAUCAUGUUUUCCUCUGGCAAGUCAGUCAAAAUCAAAUCUUGUAUCAAUGAACAGAUUUCAGAGCCUCUGAUUUCCACUUCUAGAAGAAGUGAUCUAUGAGAGUGUCCUUAUUCAGAAACAAGGUAAAAUGAUUCAUGUUUAUAUGAAACAAUCUAGUAAAUUGUAUGGAUGCUUUCUUCAUUUUGUUUUACGAUAAAAUUAAGUCAUUUUCUCCCCUUCAUAAGACAUUUUGCUUUGUAGCUUCAAUCGUCAUAGUGAAGUUCAAUGAACAACAUCAAAAAUGAUCAUCAUUUGGAAAAAAAUCAUCAUUUGUAAAUGUUCAUUAGCCAAACUAUUGUUCCCAGAAGGAAGAUUUAAACAUAUUUUUUCUUUCUCUUUCUUUUCCUGUCACAUCUUUUGUGCUCCUUGGUGUAGAUUUCGAAUUUGGUGAAAACCCAUCACCUUCUAAGUUAUCAUGAAAUAAAAAGCCAGAACAAUGUACAACAUCGAGCAGUCAGGUGCACCAGUUGCAUUUUCCUUGGUUGUGAGUUACUUGAUCCUUUGCUAUCUCUGUGGCUGGGGAAAUUGCACCUUGAAGGUUUGUGGGUUAGCUGCAAAAGGUGGCGGAAAAGUUUUACUUUUAUUCCUUCAGGUUUCCUUGUGGUAUGACUUUCACACUUAUGGACCACGCCCACCAGAGACCUUGUAUGCAUUAAUCACGGGGUGAGUCUCUUAGUGAGCACAUCUGUACAUGUGGAUGACAUAAAAGGAAUGAAUCAAAUUUCAUCUCUAUGCCUAGUUUGGGUAGCAUGUGACUCAUUUUCAUGACCCUAGAACUAAAACGUGGUAGUUAAAACAAUAACGUGAUAUUUAUAGGGUAAUUUUGAUCAAGCCUGUCAUAAUUUUCUUUCCUGGGUAAGUCUGUAUGUCCUUUGUUACAUUUCUAAUUACACUGACAGCUUUUCAGAAGGAGUGUUAGGGUAGAGGUUAUUUAAACAUAAAACCGAAGGUUUGACAUCAGUUAAGAAUGAAUGAUUUUUAUUUCCUAACAUAUAUUUUAAUGCAACAAAAACUUACUGGUUUAUUUUCCUCCCCAAAUACUUUCAUUAUUCUUAUUUUAUUGUGUAAUUUUUAAAAAAAUCAUCGAGGCAGAAGAAGAAUUGUGCUGGAGUCCCUUCUUCCUACCCAGGCACCCAGCAGCCUUAAUAUUAUUCCUCUGUUAAAAUAUGAAACAAUGGUGCAUUGUUCAUCUCACUCCUGGGUGGGCUCCUUCAUGAAGCCCUGUAGCUGCAGGCCUCUUUCCAGUUACAAAUUUAGUAGAGUUCCUCCAGUGACUUGGCUCUUUCCACAUCACUCCAGGGAUCCCUAUUAACUUAACACACUAAAAAUAACACUGCAGAAUUGCUGAACGGGUGAGGGAGACCAGCAGGGCCGAGGGAAGCUAAAUAUUGCUUGCAUUGAUCAGGAACUUGGGCCCUGCUCCCAUGACGCUUGCUUUUUGACACCGAAGCUCAUUAAGAACAUGUUUGUGCAUCUGCAGGCUUGAGAGACAGGGGAGUACAUCAGGCCCAGGGGUGGGAGUUGAGGAAGUGAGGAUGCUGUUGCCAGUCACAGAGGUCUUUUCCUAUCAACCUAGGGACUCGUUUCCUUCUGAAUUAAUGCAGCUUUUGUGUGAGCCUGGACUAGACUUGUCUUCCCUUCUGGCAAACGUUCUUAGGUGAGAAUAAAGCCAACUCUCACCUUGACUUUAAUUCCAAACUCAGUUGUAAACAUUUUUUUUUUGUACAGAGUAAUUGUCUCAUCAAAUAGUAGAUAUGAGCAUGUUUUACUUGUAUAAGGCUGAGUAGCCUGUAGAAAGAAUUCAGGUUCUGAAGUCUUAAGUUUAGCAUUUGAGUCCUCUGUCUACAUUAGCUGUGUUGCACUGAGCUACUUAUUGAAACUCCUCCAGCCUCAGAUUCCCUAUUUACAAAAUAAGCAUAUUAAUGGAAAUUAAUGCCUUUCUCACAGGAUGAUUGAGAAUUCAGAUGGGAUAGAAUUGAAAGUGUUUAGAUAAGUGUAAAAGCUGUAGUUAGUAUUCUCCAAAUAUCCACAGUAUUAAGUUGAGCCAAAUGAAAUGCCAAUAGUGAACCAAUUUUGUCCUACAAAAAUGGCAGUUUCAUGUGGUUCAACCAAAUAUAUUAAUAGGAGUUUUGGAAUGUCUUUCUCAUCUUACUUCUUUAAAUUAUCCCUGUGAGACAGAAAUAUUAUAAGCAACCUUAUUUUAGCACCUGGGGAAAUCAAAGUUUCAAAGGUUACUUGUACCAAGUUGAACAAAAUCUGUGAGUGAACCUGUUCUUCCAUUACUCAGUCUGUGGUUUCUUGCCCUUGCCCUGCACUUUAAGGGCAUAAACUGAAAAUGAGAAUCUAGAGAAAGAUUGUGACAAAACCACCUUCCCCAGGAGUUGAGCAGAGUGUAAUAAAGGAGGUCACAGCCUCUAUACCAUAUACUGACAUUAAGGAGUGGUUCUCCUGUUAAGCACGCUUUCUUGAGCUGGGGCUGGCUUUCCUGAAGUGAUGACUCUUUCAGGGGCUGAGUGAACCUCUGUGGGGCUGCUGCAUAUUAGUUCCUUCUGUUUAUUGUCCCUCAGAAUCACCAAUAUGUGCAAAUCAGUGCUGACCUGGAGAUCGGAGGAUCUAACUCCCCAGAGAUGGGACGUAGCUGGUCUACAUUGGAGUAUGUCCCCAUUCUGGGCUUGUCUUUGGCUCUGGCAGGUUUUCUCAACAUCAGCACUAUAGAUAUUUUGGGUCAGACAAUUCUUUGCUGUGGCAGUUGUCCUGUGCAUUGUAGGAUGUUUAGCAGCAUUCGUGGCUUCUACCCACUAGAUGCCAGUAGCAUGCUCUCCAUUGUAACAACCCAAUAUGUCUCUAGACAUUGUUAAAUGUCCACCAGAGGGGCAAAAUCUCUGCUAGUUGAGAACCGCUGGGCCCAGGAGACCUCAGAGUGGGAGAGUGAGGGGCUGAGCUGGGCUGGACUAAUGGUGACGUAUUUCAAGACAUUUACCAACUUGUCUGAUGAGGUUCAAUGCACCUAAGAGAAUUGCAUUUCCUUUUCUCCUACCUUCUCAUGAAAAGUGGUGCGAUUAGAUAAGAGAUGAGUCAUAUUUGGGGAUAUUGUUAGUUGCAGAUGAGUAGGAAGAGAGGUAUGGAGUUGCCUAGGCCCUUAGAUAGGAAGAAAAGAAGUCUAACUGAGGACCAGGUUCUCUCAAUUUCCUGGCAAAAACAUCUGUCUUCUUGUUUUUCUAGUUAAUUAUGGAUUUUCAUGAGCUCACCCAGCUAAUCAAGUUUAAUGACACUAGACCCAAAUCACAUUAUUGUUAUUUUUCAAGGCUGUGUUGGAACUGUGCCGCAUUAACCUGCCAGCAGCCUGGAGACAACUGUAGCCACUCAAACACUGGAGAAGCAAUGCUUUUAUUAGCAGCACAAACAGCCCUUUCAUAACAUGUCACCACUGAGAUUAUGAAGACAGAAUAAAAGCAGCAGAAAAAGGGAAUUUUCCAUAAAGAACACUUUAGGAGCUUUAUUACAAAGCAGAAACUUUAUUGCAGGAUGGGCAAGGAGACAUGUGUCCUAUAUUUACUACCAUUUCCAAUAUAAAUUUGGUUUGGAGAGACAGAGAAAAAGAUACAUAUAAAGUUGAUAUUGCUCCUUCAUUUCCAUGUCACUGAUGACAGCUUGAACAAGGAUUUCCCAAAAGGCUGUGAGCCACCUUUGUGGGUCACAUGCUGUUUGUGACUCUGUUCAUACCCUCUUUCCUUGUCCUCAGGAAUUCCUGGUGUAGAAUGGACAUAGCUGCCAGUCUUGCAAUAGCCUCUGGACCCCACUUUCACCUCAGAUAAAUAAAAAAAUAUUGUGUAUUCAGCAAAAAGUUGGGUUCUUUGCCAUUGGACUUUAUAUAGCCUGGGGAAAAAUUAAUCACAUUUUUCCAUUUAGCAUUUCAUUUGGUCUGGAUAUCAAACCAACAGGUUUUUUUCUUUCUUUUCUUUUUUUUUUUGGUUGGGGGAAUAUUUUAAAAAGUAAUGAAAAGAAUUUCCUCAAUUCUGCUGCUGAAGUGUCCUCUGUUAGAUCUUUGCACUGCUUUCAACACUUCAAAUCCAUAUCCACAUUUCAUAAUUCAAUCACUCUCUUCUGAGGGGCAGUCUAUAAUUCACUUCUGGGCCUCUACUGUUACUUUGUAGACUCUUACACCUAACAAACGAAUCAGAAGGUAUUCUUUUCUUUACAAGUGAGAGACUUCUACUUGUUAGUACACCAUGUCACAAAGAUUUGCAUGAGAUUCCCGAAUCUCAUUAUGAAAAGGCCAGGUUAUUUGGGCACACAUAAAAGCAAUGGGAUAGACUGCUUGAGUUUUGGAGUCAGAUUGGUCUGGAUUUGAAUCCUGGGCCCAUCACUUGUUAGCCUUGUGACACUGGGCAAGUUACUUUGCCUUUUAAAGCUUUAGUUUCCUUAUCUGUAAAAUUGAUGUGAUAACAACAACAACAACAACAACAACAACAACAGUUAGAUCAUAAUAUGUUUGUGAGGAUAGAGUGAGAGGUGCAUGUAAACUGUGAAGCAGAAUGCCUAGACAUAGUAAGUGCUCAUUUGGUGUUAGGAAAUGAGGGUGUAAUUAUUUCCAAGAUGGGAUUAGUCCUGUGACAUUUGCCUAAUUUAGUAAAUUAGGCUGCCCUCCUCAAUUAGUUUCUUACUAUAACUAUUAAGAUCUCUUUGUCAAAUCACAGUUCGCAGGUCUGCUUGAAUAUAUUUUAGGAUAUUUAAUGGCCAGAAGACUUCCCACAGUAACUUUGUUGCUCAAUUCUUAGGAAAGCAGAAGAGGAUUAUAAAUAACAAGCAAUAAAGACAGCAAAUGUAUGCUCCAAAAGUGAGGAAAAAUCAGUCCUAGGGGAAGUCCUCUGAACUUUAUUGCAAAAGAUAGGAAAGAGACAAUUGGAAAUGUGGGAAUAAUCAUAGCGCUUAAAAAAAAUCAUUGUUACUGCAGAACUAAUUGGAGUUCAUUGUGGUAAAGAAACAUUUCUGGUUGUAUUUAUUUAAAGAUGGUGAGCAGAAUCGAGGAGGAAGAGAAGGUAUUUUUAAUAAGGAAUCAAGGUACUGAAAAUUCUGGAACUAACAAAACAAACUAAAAAUAAGACUCAAACAGGUAGGAUUCACUCAUGCAGGGAGAUUCUACAGUGACGGCUUAAGGAUCAAAAUAAACAGAUUAGGGAACUCAAAAUUGGGAAAAUAAAGCAAGAGCCUUUUAGGGAGGUCCUUGGACCACUUUCCCCCUCUACUAUCCUAGAUUACAGCCAUGUUCUGCCACCAAUGAAGUCACUGCGAAAUUUCCGGUGUUCAGUGAAGUUUCAGGUCUCAUUGAGUUAUUGUUUGAGAGGCAACAGACAGAAGAGGUGGUGGCUAAAUAGAGGUUACCUGGAGGUUGCUAGAAUGAUUCUUUACUGCCUUGGGGUGGGGUAUUGGGAUGAGGUGGAGGUGUGUGUAGUUGAGGGAGCAGAAGAUGGAAUGGGGUUAAGGGAAGGAAAUUUUAAGUACCUCUUAUGUUCUAAUGGCUUUUACAUAGACUUGCUUAUAUAAUCCCAUAACAAUCCCAAAGAGAUGAUGGUACUAUCCUUAUUUUGCAGGUGAGAUUGACGUUUUGAGAGGUCUAGCAAUUUACCAGAGGUUACUUAGCUAGUAAGUGAUGGAGCAGAGAUUGGAACCCAGGUCUGUCUGACUUCAAAGCCCAUGAAAAACAGAGUCCUUGUAAGUUUUUUUCUCUUCCCCCUCAAGGGAAAACUAUUGAAAAGAAAUAAAUAUAUUAGGAAGGGAUGUUUGUUGGAGCUGGGAGCUGUGCAGCCUGAGGGUCAGGAGGUGGGAUGCCAGCACUCCUUUAGCUGCCCCAGCUGGUGUCUCUGUAUGUUGCAUGCCCUCUGAGUACACUGUCUCUGGGCCUAGUUCAGUUUUUCUGGGUCUGGGUCAUCAACUCCAGCAAUCAUGGCAGAAGCAUUUAUGAAAUGAAGAUAUUGAAAGAUGGAAUCAUGGUAGAUGUAAUGACAGGUUUUGAAAAAUGGGAAAGAUAUUGAAAACUGAAAAUGGAUAUCUGUUGGAAGAGAUUUUAAUUUUCUGGUAAAAUAAUGGAGUAAGUACCAGGAGAAAAGAAAUCUGUAGUCGGACGAUAAUACAGAGGAUAAUAGAAUCAUGAGCAAUAAACAGUUCAGGUCUGUAAACAAAGCAUCAUGCCAAAAAACCCCCCGAUAGCUUCCCACUGAUGGAAUUAUAGAAUUGGUGGAUGAAAGGAAAAAAUAAAUUUAAUAUAUUUGGAUUUUUGGUAACACACAAGAUAGAGGUGGAGAAAAACCAGAAUAAUUGAAUAUAACAGUAUAGCAAAGUAUUUGACACUAGGUUGGAUUGGAUUUUUCUUUGAAAAAGUUACUUUAGUUAGACUAGAUGUUGCUAGAAUUGCUAUUUUGAUUGAAGGUGGCUAUUUCAACAGAUAUUGAAUAUGAUAAAUGAUCAUGAUAUUUAAAAACAAACUAAGCCCCCAAACAAACAAAACUACAUUGGGAAUAUUGCAAACUAAAAAGAAAACAUUCUCUUUUUGGUUUAACCCCAGAUGGAUUGUUUCCUGCUUAAAGGGUCUCUUAUGAAAGACACCUUUGUUUUUUGACUUUGCUCCUGUGAUGAUAUGAUAAUGCGUCCCUGUCCCCUUUGCUUGGGAAUCAUUAAAAGGUUCUACUGGUCCACUAAGAAUCCCACAGGAAGAGAUUCAUAGAGGCCUUGGAUGGUGCAGUUACAGCUCAGACUGCAGUCUUUUUUUUUUUUUUUU
This 9898-nucleotide long non-coding RNA is filed under the name Homo sapiens (human). RNAcentral's name for it is "HSALNT0311070". Lineage: Eukaryota; Metazoa; Chordata; Mammalia; Primates; Hominidae. The record is from RNAcentral.